Molecule: ribosomal RNA, 492 nt
Filed under: uncultured bacterium
Lineage: Bacteria
Description: partial 16S ribosomal RNA
Rfam family: Bacterial small subunit ribosomal RNA
Source: RNAcentral
AUUGAACGCUGGCGGCAUGCUUUACACAUGCAAGUCGAACGGUAACAGGCCUUCGGGUGCUGACGAGUGGCGAACGGGUGAGUAAUGCAUCGGAACGUACCCAGAGGUGGGGGAUAACGCAGCGAAAGCUGUGCUAAUACCGCAUGUGAUCUGAGGAUGAAAGCGGGGGACCGAGCAGCAAUGUUUGGCCUCGCGCCUUUGGAGCGGCCGAUGUCGGAUUAGCUAGUUGGUGGGGUAAAGGCCUACCAAGGCGACGAUCCGUAGCUGGUCUGAGAGGACGACCAGCCACACUGGGACUGAGACACGGCCCAGACGCCUACGGGAGGCAGCAGUGGGGAAUUUUGGACAAUGGGCGCAAGCCUGAUCCAGCAAUGCCGCGUGCGGGAAGAAGGCCUUCGGGUUGUAAACCGCUUUUGGCAGGAACGAAACGGUGUCCGCUAAUACCGGGCGCUAAUGACGGUACCUGCAGAAUAAGCACCGGCUAACUACGUG